Molecule: transfer RNA, 74 nt
Filed under: Candidatus Blochmannia vicinus (nom. nud.)
Lineage: Bacteria; Pseudomonadati; Pseudomonadota; Gammaproteobacteria; Enterobacterales; Enterobacteriaceae
Description: Candidatus Blochmannia vicinus tRNA-Asp
Rfam family: tRNA
About the family: Transfer RNA (tRNA) molecules are approximately 80 nucleotides in length. Their secondary structure includes four short double-helical elements and three loops (D, anti-codon, and T loops).
Source: RNAcentral
GGUGCGGUAGUUCAGAUGGUUAGAACAUCGGCCUGUCACGCCGGGGGUCACGGGUUCAAGUCCCGUCCGCACCG